GCACAAGCGGUGGAUGAUGUGGUUUAAUUCGAUGCAACGCGAAAAACCUUACCCACCUUUGACAUGUACGGAAUUCGCCAGAGAUGGCUUAGUGCUCGAAAGAGAGCCGUAACACAGGUGCUGCAUGGCUGUCGUCAGCUCGUGUCGUGAGAUGUUGGGUUAAGUCCCGCAACGAGCGCAACCCUUGUCAUUAGUUGCUACGAAAGGGCACUCUAAUGAGACUGCCGGUGACAAACCGGAGGAAGGUGGGGAUGACGUCAAGUCCUCAUGGCCCUUAUAGGUGGGGCUACACACGUCAUACAAUGGCCGGUACAAAGGGUCGCAAACCCGCGGGGGGGAGCCAAUCCAUCAAAGCCGGUCGUAGUCCGGAUCGCAGUCUGCGACUCGACUGCGUGAAGUCGGAAUCGCUAGUAAUCGUGGAUCAGCAUGUCACGGUGAAUACGUUCCCGGGCCUUGUACACACCG
RNAcentral lists this ribosomal RNA (465 nucleotides) under uncultured beta proteobacterium. RNAcentral describes it as "bacterial SSU rRNA". It matches the Rfam family "Bacterial small subunit ribosomal RNA", at positions 923 to 1392 of the family's 1533-position model. Lineage: Bacteria; Pseudomonadati; Pseudomonadota; Betaproteobacteria. The record is from RNAcentral.